UAUCUCAGGCACUCUACUAAGCAUCUUACAGGAGGGCACAGAGAUGUCAGAAUGGUAGGGAGAGAAAAAGACUAUGGGACUACAAUUUAAGCUGGAAGAAGGUGUACCCACAAUAAUGAAAUCACUGAUUGUUCAUGGAUGAAGGCUCAGGACUCUGAACACAAGUCUUGGGAACAGCAGUCCUUCCAGACCACCAGCCCUGCUUCUAUCUCAUUCCAUCACAGCCAUCAUUGAGGCAAGCAAAUCAUGUGGAAGAGGGGCCAGUCGUCUCCAUGAACUAUCCACCAGAUGCCAAACAAGGCAGGUACGCUAGCCUAGCUGAAGUAGCAAGGCCCCUUGAGUGUGAGAGGAGGAGCACGUGCCAGGCAAGCCAUAGUAUCACCACCAACUUGUCCACCAUCUCCCCUCAAACCCUAAUGGAGACCGCUCAGGACCUAAAGCCAAGAGCCUUGCUUCCAGUCCACUGCUCUCAACCAUCAUCCCAGAAACAACCCCUUGUGGAGACACAGCCUGGAAGUGCUCCUGUCUUUGUACCUAUCCCCAGUGCCUGGGGCAAUGCCCAGCAUAGUUGAUACUUGCUAAAAAGCUUACUGAAUUCAGUUCGAUUGAACUCUAGUUCAUCUCCCAUAAAACCAGAUCAAAUAGAGAGAAUUUGGCUUCAAAGAUCGUUGCUAUAUUUGAUGCUAAAUAGGCAAACUCAGUUAACUUACUGUUCUCCUUACGUGUUGCAAGGACCACUCAGUCAUCUUUCUAUCAAGGUAAAUGUUUGUGUAGAAUGCUUUCUUGCUAUC
Molecule: non-coding RNA, 791 nt
Organism: Phascolarctos cinereus (koala)
Lineage: Eukaryota; Metazoa; Chordata; Mammalia; Diprotodontia; Phascolarctidae
Source: RefSeq, a predicted model, not a curated record